UCCAGGGUAGCCUAGUGGACAUGGCAUCUGCCCGGUAAGCGGAACGUUGUGGGUUCGAUUCCCAUUCCUGGAC
This 73-nucleotide transfer RNA is filed under the name Cordylochernes scorpioides. RNAcentral's name for it is "tRNA-Thr". It matches the Rfam family "tRNA". From Rfam's summary of the family: Transfer RNA (tRNA) molecules are approximately 80 nucleotides in length. Their secondary structure includes four short double-helical elements and three loops (D, anti-codon, and T loops). The record is from RNAcentral. Lineage: Eukaryota; Metazoa; Arthropoda; Arachnida; Pseudoscorpiones; Chernetidae.